RNAcentral lists this unclassified non-coding RNA (1688 nucleotides) under Hevea brasiliensis (rubber tree). Lineage: Eukaryota; Viridiplantae; Streptophyta; Magnoliopsida; Malpighiales; Euphorbiaceae. The record is from RNAcentral.
GUUGCUAAUCGGAGUUUAAGCAGACAUUAAGAUGUUUGUUCAGAGCACUUACAGCCACUCUCAGUAAAUUCUAUCCUUAAUGGCACUUAGGAAGAUCAAACAGCUGAUUCUACAUCAUCAGUUUUCAUUUCCUCUCUGAAAGAGUGAUUGUGCAGAUGCCGGGUAAAACUAGUAGUCGUAUCCAAGAAAUAAAGAACCAAUGACAUCGUGCAGCAGCACACAAACAUGGGUAUUGGCCCGAAGAUCCAUAGAAAUAGAGGGAACGAUAGAUAGAAAGCUCGCAAUCCGAGGGACCAGAAGAAACUUCCUCGAUUCAAGUUUCUGGCAACAUACUCAAUGGAAUCCUUUUUGCCUACUGAUGUAGGUACAGUAGCCAGGAAGCUAACAUGAGCAUAGUAUCUAAUUGACUGCACAUUGCAAAGAAAGGCAACGAGGAAGCACAGCAGAAUAGAGAAAUACUUUAUUGAAGAAACAAUGGAGGUCUUAUUUCCAUAUAAUAUUUGUGAGGCUGUGUUGCCAGAGUUUGAUGUGCUGCCCACAAACACACUGAUCAAUGAGCUGAGAGUGAUUGCUGUUGUUGCUAAAAGCGUCGAUGCCAUUAUGUUGUUACGUAUUGUUUGAACUGCCAACACACCAUUCUUCAGGGGAUCCUGAGAAUUACAAAGUCAAUAUUGUCAAAAUUGGAAUUUGCAUAGAUAUUAAAUUCUAAAAUAAAAUUUCAGUGAAGAAAAAGUGUAGAUGAACAAUAAACAGUACUUGCUCAAACAACGAUUAACCAAGCCUUAAAUAUGGAUUAUGGACUCUAAUCUCCUUGCUAUGCAUCAAUUAUAGUCUGUGCCAUCCAUACAAAGUAGAUACCAUCAUUGGCUUUUCAUAUAUGCCAAGCAUGUAGUUCAAAGUUUACUUUAAGCACAUCUAAAACUAAUUUUCAUGAGUGUUUUCAAGAAAAUCUUCACAAUGAGAUUAGGAGCGAUACUAGUUUCUUGUUGCCAACCAUAAGCAAUCAACAAUCAGGGAAUGCAGCUUUAAUUCUAACCAAUGGAAGUUAGGCAAGACCUCCUUUAACCUAUGGAAACUGAAGAAGUUGAAUUUACUAAUGGAGAUCAAGAAGAUGACACAUAGAGUUCUAUUGCAGAAAAAGUAGCAUAGAAGUAAAGCUAAUUGAGAACUGAAUCCAUGGAGGGGUGUAGUUUACAGUAAUUAACCUUUACAUAGACUUAAAUGAAUCAUAAUUACAAUCCAAGAGUAAGAUAAGUGUACAAUUUUGAAUUUUCACCCAAGGAUGCUUCUAGUUCUAGAUAAUGAUCAAACCAUGUAAUCCUAACCAGCUACAAAAUUGAGCAAGGAACUUCACAAACUAGGAAAGCUCUCUCACAGGACUCGGUACAAAAGAAUCAACUUAAAAGCUUGUACUUGUUGUAAGGGCCCAUGAAAACGUUUUAAUAUCUCUAACAAGACCUACUUUGAAAAAUGCAGCCCUGCCAUACCUUGUGUUGAAAUUUAGUAAUAAGAAGAGCGAUAUUCAAACUUUAGACCUUUUGGUGAAAGAAAUUCUAAUAUCAUGCCAUGAAACCACUCAACCUUAAAACUGUAAAAAAGCCCAAGAACAAGUUUAGUAUCUUUAACCUCGAUAAUCAUCCAUGCAGCUCUAAUCCCCAAUUUAGUCAUGAUAAUGCCUGCCAAAGAAG